UCUAGAUAGAUUUAAAAGAUACAAAUAAUGAUGAAUGCCUUGACGACGACGGUUAUCUGUGACUCCCGAUGAUAUGGAUAUAUAAGGAAGUACUUUGACCCACGUUUUGUUCUCCAUUUCUCACAUCUUCUUUCUCUUUUUCUUUUCUCUAUUUCUCACAUUCUCUUUAUUUUUGUCUCUUUCUCCACCCAGAUAUAAUUAUGGUUCCUU
RNAcentral lists this long non-coding RNA (210 nucleotides) under Lathyrus oleraceus (garden pea). RNAcentral describes it as "Pisum sativum (pea) long non-coding RNA (PSAT_LNC038681)". The record is from RNAcentral. Lineage: Eukaryota; Viridiplantae; Streptophyta; Magnoliopsida; Fabales; Fabaceae.